CUAUAGAAUUUUAUAUUAACUUUACCUAGCGGUUAAUGCUGGUCUUUUGUUAAUAUUUGGUUGGGAGGAUUAUUAAAUUUAACAAACUUUAUAUCAUUAUAAACUUUGAUUUAAGAAAAUAUAAUGACCUUCAAUUUGAAAUAGUUAGAGUAAAUUACCUUAGGGAUAACAGCGUAAUAUUUUUUUAUAGACCUUAUAGAAAAAAAUGGUUGCGACCUCGAUGUUGAAUUAAGAUAAAUUUUAAAUGCAGGAGUUUAAUAAUUAAGUCUGUU
RNAcentral lists this ribosomal RNA (272 nucleotides) under Lepidotrigona ventralis. Its description in RNAcentral is "partial large subunit ribosomal RNA". The record is from RNAcentral. Lineage: Eukaryota; Metazoa; Arthropoda; Insecta; Hymenoptera; Apidae.